Molecule: long non-coding RNA, 4351 nt
Organism: Triticum aestivum (bread wheat)
Lineage: Eukaryota; Viridiplantae; Streptophyta; Magnoliopsida; Poales; Poaceae
Exons: 5
Source: RefSeq, a predicted model, not a curated record
CACACGCACAUGACCCGCGACCGCAAGAAAAUUACGGUUCAUCCCCACCCACCGACUACUCCCCCCCAUCGAUCGAUCUCCCCAGCACCAUCAUCCUGCCCUGAGUGUCCAUGUCGGUCUCCCUCUCGACAGCCACCGCCACCAUGACUCCGGAUCCUGGCCGGCCCAUCGCUGCCAGCACGUCUUACCGCAAGGUCGCCUCGGCACCGCGGAGCCCGACACCGACCCCGGCCCCUCGGGUUAGUGUCCUCUAUGUCAGCCCGCCACCGCGCCAUCUCCGGCCAAGGUCGAUGACCAUGGGAUCCCCACAAGCGUGUGAAGCCCUGCUGAUGUGCGGAGCUGAACCUGAACGAUUGCAUCCGCGAGGCCGAGGAGUAGGUCGUGCGCUGCCACAAGGACAGGGGCACUGGCUCGGCGCCAUGUACGCCUGCAAGGAGGACACCGUGCUCCAGGCCCUCGAGACUGAGAGGGCUCGCCUGGACAGGAGCGCCAGCUCCUAGACCAAGCCUGCUUCUCAGGGCGCCAAUGCGCAUUAUUUCUUCUGCCCAGCAAACGCCAAACGACCCGAGGAUGACGUGCCGCAGCCCGCAGGGAUUCCAGCGAAUGAGAGACCUAACUGAAAUGGUGCUUUUUCUGAAUCUUGUUUGUUGCAUAUGAGUGGACAGAUACCUGUUUGCUCGUAUAUCUUGCUUCAAUUGAUGCACUGGCUCAUGUACAGUAUGGAGCACCCUGACAUCACAGGUGUGCGCUUCACUAAAUUAAUCAUCGUGCAACAUUCCUACUUCAACAUAUACUCAAAUGGCGGUGAUGUUCUCCUCUGGGAUGGAGGGGGCGGGUCUGUGGGCAUCGUAGAGAAGUGGUCGGGUCCACAAGAUAACUGAGAUGCUUGUGGCGGGGUGCUUGAGGUGAGGAGUCCGUAGGGCUGGCCGGGCAGAACAAGCUCAUCGGCACCACCUCCUCGCCUUCUCCAUCAGCAAUGUGGACAAGGUGCAAAAGGAUAUCUCACUUACAUCUUAUUCAGUCUGGCUGCCAAUUUAGCAAUGUUUGGUUUGGCUGAUUUAACAAUUGUCAGAUUGUAAAUCUGUUGCAUAUAGCAGAAAUUGAAUAACAUGGACAGAAAUUUCUUGAAUUUAUAGGGUUAUUAUUAUUAUUUUUCGACAAAAUCCGUCGCUAAAUUAGGAAGAACGUCAUCCAAAAUCCGGCAACAUAAAGGAGUACAUAGUUAAUUGAUUUUGAAAUGAUGUAGUGCAUUAGACGAUUUCUUCCUUAAUUUCUUAACGCAUUUAUAUUUAAGCGGUAAGCCCCAUACGUCAUACGUGUUCGUCCUUUUGGUGAUAUAAGGUGGUGAGCUUUCUCCUUCUCCACUCUUUAACACUGUUGGUUCUGCAUUUUGCAUCAAUGGUUUGGGAUAAGAAAUGAAUGUUUCUAUCUGAAUAUUAUUUGGUUAUUCAUGCUUUGUCUAAAUCGAUUUAGGAGAAGUUAGUAUGUGAUUCAUUUGGAAAAAUGACUUCUUUCUGAACAGAAGUAAUAAAAGGACUUGGUCGGGGAGGGAGUAGAGCCGGUUAAUUCAGUACUUUCUGGACAACAGUAAUAAAAGGGCUUAUUCAGUUUUAAUUUUUUCCAGUAAAUAAUGAAAAUGUCUAUGUAUUUUUUUUCUCCCAAUAUGCUAUGGUCAUCUUGUUGCUAUGCAUAUAAAAUUUCAUGGCCAGCUUAGCAGCUGAGGGUUGGCUCUCCUAUCUACCUGUCUAUCUUGCUUUGACAAGGUGAUGUAAAUAUUCAAAAAACAUGUGACCAUCUCCUGUUGGUCAGUAUUAUCUUUGGCCAUUCUUCUAUUUGUGUUUGCUUUUUUUGCAUGUUCAUUAUGACGGUGAAAUUCUAGAGACGACCAGGUAAUGUUCCGAAUCCAGGUUAUUUCCUAUUAUGUAUGGAUUUGAUAUCUGGUGAACGGUUGCCAUACACGCUUUCAACAAUAUUUAGAAAUGCCAGUGUCGCUUGUCUGCUGCUGGACUUGGUGCACACACAAUCAGCUCCCAAGUCAUGGCAGGUCGUUCCAGACAUGAGGUUCAUCUUGAUGAUUUUAUUUUCGCAAUGCAAACUUGGAACCUGGCGAUACAAACUAAAAGCAUGCUUAUAUCAAGAUGUAGUGCAUACCCAGCCUAAAUUGAUGUUUUCCAGUUUGAUUGAUUUUAUUUCUAUGCAAAUUACAAAUAAAUUAGAGCUUUCUCAGAGCUUCAAUCAGAAGUUCUCGCCAAUGGUUUGAUCUUUUUUUCUUUUCUUUUUAUAGGCUAUGAGGUCUUAUUGUGCUUCCAGAUUGGAACCGUUGGAAAGCUUAGACUUCCUGAUCUAGCUAACAAACGAAGCAGUCUAUUUAACAACAAGACAAUAGCAUAUAUAUAUAUAUAUAUAUAUAUAUAUGUGUGUGUGUGUGUGUGUGUGUGUGUGUGUGUGUGCGUGUGCGUGUGUGUGUGUGUGUGUGUGUGUGUGUGUGUGUGUGUACUUUGAUCGCUACAUUUUCUAGCAGCAAGAUAGUAGCAUAUCUAUAUGCACCUUGAGAGUUACAUUUUUUGCCAUCGCUUGUACUACUAUUACUACUGUACUGACAUAAAGUCAGGGAGUUCAAAAUUUUCAUGUUUAGUUUGCACUAAUGUUAUUCUUCAUUGAGUUUUGGUCCAGGUAUUUAUCUAGGUAGAUGCUAUUCAUAUUGGCAUGAAUACUAUUGAAUUCUGAAUCAUAAAGAAGCUAGGAUAAUAUCAUAAUUACAUGCCAAACUUUUCUAAAGGGAUUUGUCUUCCACGUAGUAGGUGCUGAUGCUUAUGAUUUUCUUCUUCAAAAAACAUAUGGCAAAGGCUAACCCAAUAUUUAAGUUUUCAUUAUGACCCAAUCUGGACCAUGUACAUAAUCGACCAUAUAGUUCAAAACAGAUCUAUUAAUGAAGGUUGGUUUGAGAUCCACUAUUUCUUCUCACAAAUGUACAUCUGCAUUUAAUUUUUUUUAGCAGUUUUCACUGCAUGCUUGGAGAAGAGGACAAGAGGAGAGGCUUGGAUCUUGAGAUGACAAGGGUAGUCACCUGGUGCAAAUAAAGGAAGGAGGAGGUGAAUGGGGCAAGAGGCACGAGAAGAAAGGAGUAGCGCCACAGGGAUGACGUUGUCGGCAGCGCCUUUGGACAGGUUCGUUCUAGAGAAGUUAUGGUGGUCAGCCGUCGCGCUGGGGAAUCGGGGAGGAUGUCGUUCGGAACACAUGGUGGGUUUAGAGGAGUGUGUCGAGGCAGUGCUCGAGGAUGGCCACGAGAAGUUGGAUUGCACACUUCUCAACGUGAUUGCGUCGUUGGUCCAGUGUCAAAUCAAAGGAACUUCUAUCACAUAUGUUCAUGCGUGGUAUGCCAAUUUCUCCUUGAUGGCAAAUAAUCCAGACAAAAUAUUUGGAAGUAAUGGCGGCCUUGCCGGAGUAAGGGGCAAAAUUGUGGGAGUGGACGCACAUCAUGUAGGCUAGACGACAGAGUUUGUGGUCGUUGUGUCCUGAGCGGGCAUAAUGGAGUUUACACUAAUUACUUCUACAUUGAUAUUAUUGUUUGGACACUUUGAAAGGAGAAGAAAAUAGCAAAGAAUACCUAAAAAAUCAUAGUGUGUAUGUAGAAGGUUGGGGUAUUUUGACCCGGAUGGGCCAUUGAUGGUUGCGGCCAGCUUGGAUAGGGAAGGUACAGAUAGUUGGCGAAGAGGAGGAUAGCGAAGAUGAAUACGAAUAAUGGUUUAAAGGUAGCAAAAAUCAACAAUUUUGCUUAAUGUGCAUGAAGAUUCGAACGAUGUAUGUUUGACAUGAUUAAUGUUGAAUCACUAGCAUAUAUAUAUACUCCUGUUGUACUCAUGUCAAGCUUCAGGGUGGUGGCGUGCUGAUGGUGGACGGUUGGCUGCGGCUAGGGCUGCAAGAAAAGCUCGAGGCUCGUGAGCCGCUCGAGAUCGACUCGUUUUUUGACUCGACUCGAGAUUGACUCAAAAAGAAACAUGCUGAGUUUGAACACUUUAUGUAGCUCAACCGAGAAACGAGCCGAUCUUGAGCCAAUGUUGGCUCGCUCGAUUUUAGCUCGAUAGCUCGACAACAUAUCAUUAUGUUAAAUGAUCAUGCCAUAUAUUAUAUGAAAAUAAGAUAAUUUAUUACCAUAUAUGUUGUCCAUAAUUUUCUCCAUUUUAUUUACCAACGAACGUGGAAACUUAAUUAAGUGCAGAGAAGAUUUAGGCCUAAUUAUGGCACAUGGCUGACUAUGUGUUAAAUAUCCUAUAUUUUUGGCAAAGGUUCCCAGCAUAUUCACCUUUUUUUCAUCCAUAGAUUUAUAAUUCUUACCGUCUCAUUUAGCUCG